This 584-nucleotide ribosomal RNA is filed under the name Salmonella enterica. RNAcentral's name for it is "partial 23S ribosomal RNA". It matches the Rfam family "Bacterial large subunit ribosomal RNA", at positions 711 to 1290 of the family's 2925-position model. Lineage: Bacteria; Pseudomonadati; Pseudomonadota; Gammaproteobacteria; Enterobacterales; Enterobacteriaceae. The record is from RNAcentral. RNAcentral also lists the same sequence under 1 other name.
AGACCCGAAACCCGGUGAUCUAGCCAUGGGCAGGUUGAAGGUUGGGUAACACUAACUGGAGGACCGAACCGACUAAUGUUGAAAAAUUAGCGGAUGACCUGUGGCUGGGGGUGAAAGGCCAAUCAAACCGGGAGAUAGCUGGUUCUCCCCGAAAGCUAUUUAGGUAGCGCCUCGUGAAUUCAUCUCCGGGGGUAGAGCACUGUUUCGGCUAGGGGGCCAUCCCGGCUUACCAACCCGAUGCAAACUGCGAAUACCGGAGAAUGUUAUCACGGGAGACACACGGCGGGUGCUAACGUCCGUCGUGAAGAGGGAAACAACCCAGACCGCCAGCUAAGGUCCCAAAGUCAUGGUUAAGUGGGAAACGAUGUGGGAAGGCCCAGACAGCCAGGAUGUUGGCUUAGAAGCAGCCAUCAUUUAAAGAAAGCGUAAUAGCUCACUGGUCGAGUCGGCCUGCGCGGAAGAUGUAACGGGGCUAAACCAUGCACCGAAGCUGCGGCAGCGACGCUGAUGCGUUGUUGGGUAGGGGAGCGUUCUGUAAGCCUGUGAAGGUGUGUCGUGAGGCAUGCUGGAGGUAUCAGAAGUGC